This 262-nucleotide ribosomal RNA is filed under the name uncultured prokaryote. Its description in RNAcentral is "partial 16S ribosomal RNA". It matches the Rfam family "Bacterial small subunit ribosomal RNA", at positions 524 to 784 of the family's 1533-position model. The record is from RNAcentral.
UACGUAGGUGGCAAGCGUUAUCCGGAAUUAUUGGGCGUAAAGAGCGCGCAGGUGGUUGAUUAAGUCUGAUGUGAAAGCCCACGGCUUAACCGUGGAGGGUCAUUGGAAACUGGUCGACUUGAGUGCAGAAGAGGGAAGUGGAAUUCCAUGUGUAGCGGUGAAAUGCGUAGAGAUAUGGAGGAACACCAGUGGCGAAGGCGGCUUCCUGGUCUGUAACUGACGCUGAGGAGCGAAAGCAUGGGGUAGCGAACAGGAUUAGAUA